AGAGUUUGAUCAUGGCUCAGGACGAACGCUGGCGGCGUGCCUAAUACAUGCAAGUAGAACGCUGAAGAGAGGAGCUUGCUCUUCUUGGAUGAGUUGCGAACGGGUGAGUAACGCGUAGGUAACCUGCCUUGUAGCGGGGGAUAACUAUUGGAAACGAUAGCUAAUACCGCAUAACAAUGGAUGACACAUGUCAUUUAUUUGAAAGGGGCAAUUGCUCCACUACAAGAUGGACCUGCGUUGUAUUAGCUAGUAGGUGAGGUAAUGGCUCACCUAGGCGACGAUACAUAGCCGACCUGAGAGGGUGAUCGGCCACACUGGGACUGAGACACGGCCCAGACUCCUACGGGAGGCAGCAGUAGGGAAUCUUCGGCAAUGGGGGCAACCCUGACCGAGCAACGCCGCGUGAGUGAAGAAGGUUUUCGGAUCGUAAAGCUCUGUUGUAAGUCAAGAACGGGUGUGAGAGUGGAAAGUUCACACUGUGACGGUAGCUCACCAGAAAGGGACGGCUAACUACGUGCCAGCAGCCGCGGUAAUACGUAGGUCCCGAGCGUUGUCCGGAUUUAUUGGGCGUAAAGCGAGCGCAGGCGGUUUGAUAAGUCUGAAGUUAAAGGCUGUGGCUCAACCAUAGUUCGCUUUGGAAACUGUCAAACUUGAGUGCAGAAGGGGAGAGUGGAAUUCCAUGUGUAGCGGUGAAAUGCGUAGAUAUAUGGAGGAACACCGGUGGCGAAAGCGGCUCUCUGGUCUGUAACUGACGCUGAGGCUCGAAAGCGUGGGGAGCGAACAGGAUUAGAUACCCUGGUAGUCCACGCCGCAAACGAUGAGUGCUAGGUGUUGGAUCCUUUCCGGGAUUCAGUGCCGCAGCUAACGCAUUAAGCACUCCGCCUGGGGAGUACGACCGCAAGGUUGAAACUCAAAGGAAUUGACGGGGGCCCGCACAAGCGGUGGAGCAUGUGGUUUAAUUCGAAGCAACGCGAAGAACCUUACCAGGUCUUGACAUCCCGAUGCUAUUUCUAGAGAUAGAAAGUUACUUCGGUACAUCGGUGACAGGUGGUGCAUGGUUGUCGUCAGCUCGUGUCGUGAGAUGUUGGGUUAAGUCCCGCAACGAGCGCAACCCCUAUUGUUAGUUGCCAUCAUUCAGUUGGGCACUCUAGCGAGACUGCCGGUAAUAAACCGGAGGAAGGUGGGGAUGACGUCAAAUCAUCAUGCCCCUUAUGACCUGGGCUACACACGUGCUACAAUGGUUGGUACAACGAGUUGCGAGUCGGUGACGGCGAGCUAAUCUCUUAAAGCCAAUCUCAGUUCGGAUUGUAGGCUGCAACUCGCCUACAUGAAGUCGGAAUCGCUAGUAAUCGCGGAUCAGCACGCCGCGGUGAAUACGUUCCCGGGCCUUGUACACACCGCCCGUCACACCACGAGAGUUUGUAACACCCGAAGUCGGUGAGGUAACCUUUUGGAGCCAGCCGCCUAAGGUGGGACAGAUGAUUGGGGUGAAGUCGUAACAAGGUA
This 1506-nucleotide ribosomal RNA is filed under the name metagenome. RNAcentral describes it as "bacterial SSU rRNA". It matches the Rfam family "Bacterial small subunit ribosomal RNA". The record is from RNAcentral.